Molecule: ribosomal RNA, 553 nt
Filed under: uncultured Glomeromycotina
Lineage: Eukaryota; Fungi; Glomeromycota
Description: partial 18S small subunit ribosomal RNA
Rfam family: Eukaryotic small subunit ribosomal RNA
Source: RNAcentral
UUGGAGGGCAAGUCUGGUGCCAGCAGCCGCGGUAAUUCCAGCUCCAAUAGCGUAUAUUAAAGUUGUUGCAGUUAAAAAGCUCGUAGUUGAAUUUYGGGAUCAAUAUUUCGGUCAUGCCGUUGGUAUGCACUGUUAUCAUUGAUUUCUCACCUUCUAAAGAWCCYURURWCCAUUAAUUUGGUGUUACGGGGAAUUAGGACUGUUACCUUGAAAAAAUUAGAGUGUUUAAAGCAGGCUCACGCUUGAAUACAUUAGCAUGGAAUAAUGAAAUAGGACAUCCGAUUCUAUUUUGUUGGUUUCUAGGAUCGAUGUAAUGAUUAAUAGGGAUAGUUGGGGGCAUUAGUAUUCAAUUGUCAGAGGUGAAAUUCUUGGAUUUAUUGAAGACUAACUACUGCGAAAGCAUUUGCCAAGGAUGUUUUCAUUAAUCAAGAACGAAAGUUAGGGGAUCGAAGACGAUCAGAUACSGUCGUAGUCUUAACCAUAAACUAUGCCGACUAGGKAUCGGARRRGKGUUAAUUUUUUAAUGACUCAUUCGGCGCCUUACGGGAAACAA